AAACAAGAAGCAAAUCUGCACUCAGUUUCGACCUGACCAAUAGAUGUAUUUAAUCAUCCUUGUUUU
This 66-nucleotide transfer RNA is filed under the name Schedorhinotermes putorius. RNAcentral's name for it is "tRNA-Arg". Lineage: Eukaryota; Metazoa; Arthropoda; Insecta; Blattodea; Rhinotermitidae. The record is from RNAcentral.